CCUACGGGCGGCAGCAGUCGAGAAUCAUUCACAAUGGGGGAAACCCUGAUGGUGCGACGCCGCGUGGGGGAAUGAAGGUCUUCGGAUUGUAAACCCCUGUCAUGUGGGAGCAAAUUAAAAAGAUAGUACCACAAGAGGAAGAGACGGCUAACUCUGUGCCAGCAGCCGCGGUAAUACAGAGGUCUCAAGCGUUGUUCGGAAUCACUGGGCGUAAAGCGUGCGUAGGCUGUUGCGUAAGUCGUGUGUGAAAGGCGCGGGCUCAACCCGCGGACGGCACAUGAUACUGGGAGACUAGAGUAAGGGAGGGGGAACCGGAAUUCUCGGUGUAGCAGUGAAAUGCGUAGAUAUCGAGAAGAACACUCGUGGCGAAGGCGGGUUCCUGGACAUUAACUGACGCUGAGGCACGAAGGCCAGGGGAGCGAAAGGGAUUAGAUACCCUUGUAGUC
This 446-nucleotide ribosomal RNA is filed under the name uncultured bacterium. RNAcentral's name for it is "partial 16S ribosomal RNA". It matches the Rfam family "Bacterial small subunit ribosomal RNA", at positions 338 to 795 of the family's 1533-position model. The record is from RNAcentral.